UUGAACGCUGGCGGCAUGCUUUACACAUGCAAGUCGAACGGUAACAGGCCUUCGGGUGCUGACGAGUGGCGAACGGGUGAGUAAUGCAUCGGAACGUACCCAGAGGUGGGGGAUAACGCAGCGAAAGCUGUGCUAAUACCGCAUGUGAUCUGAGGAUGAAAGCGGGGGACCGAGCAGCAAUGUUUGGCCUCGCGCCUUUGGAGCGGCCGAUGUCGGAUUAGCUAGUUGGUGGGGUAAAGGCCUACCAAGGCGACGAUCCGUAGCUGGUCUGAGAGGACGACCAGCCACACUGGGACUGAGAAACGGCCCAGACUCCUACGGGAGGCAGCAGUGGGGAAUGUUGGACAAUGGGCGCAAGCCUGAUCCAGCAAUGCCGCGUGCGGGAAGAAGGCCUUCGGGUUGUAAACCGCUUUUGGCAGGAACGAAACGGUGUCCGCUAAUACCGGGCGCUAAUGACGGUACCUGCAGAAUAAGCACCGGCUAACUACGUG
This 491-nucleotide ribosomal RNA is filed under the name uncultured bacterium. RNAcentral's name for it is "partial 16S ribosomal RNA". It matches the Rfam family "Bacterial small subunit ribosomal RNA", at positions 29 to 507 of the family's 1533-position model. The record is from RNAcentral.